RNAcentral lists this microRNA (22 nucleotides) under Strongyloides ratti. RNAcentral describes it as "str-miR-8390-3p". Lineage: Eukaryota; Metazoa; Nematoda; Chromadorea; Rhabditida; Strongyloididae. The record is from miRBase by way of RNAcentral.
UAAAUGCAUCUUUUGAGAUAGA